This 253-nucleotide ribosomal RNA is filed under the name uncultured bacterium. RNAcentral describes it as "partial 16S ribosomal RNA". It matches the Rfam family "Bacterial small subunit ribosomal RNA", at positions 524 to 776 of the family's 1533-position model. The record is from RNAcentral.
UACGUAGGGUGCGAGCGUUAAUCGGAAUUACUGGGCGUAAAGCGUGCGCAGGCGGUUUUGUAAGCCAGAUGUGAAAUCCCCGGGCUUAACCUGGGAACUGCAUUUGUGACUGCACGGCUGGAGUGCGGCAGAGGGGGAUGGAAUUCCGCGUGUAGCAGUGAAAUGCGUAGAUAUGCGGAGGAACACCGAUGGCGAAGGCAAUCCCCUGGGCCUGCACUGACGCUCAUGCACGAAAGCGUGGGGAGCAAACAGG